This is a long non-coding RNA of Hippocampus comes (tiger tail seahorse), 614 nucleotides long. RefSeq lists it as uncharacterized. The transcript is spliced from 3 exons. The record is from RefSeq and is a predicted model, not a curated record. NCBI's taxonomy places the organism in Eukaryota, Metazoa, Chordata, Actinopteri, Syngnathiformes, Syngnathidae.
UUUUUUUUUUUUUUUUUAACACAGCGAAAGUUCCAUGCGCCCACUGUCCACCAUAUUCUUAGCGGUCCCACUGCCCUGUUCGACAGCCUGACCAACCCUUGCCUAACCAUCGUUAGCGGCGUAAUCCAAAACAACUGAACGAACGAUGUCUCGCUGUCGCAAGUAAUUUGUGGACCUGUUGGGCAGAUGGCCGAUCGUACAUUGCCUCCUGGGGACCAAACGGGCGUCGAAAACUCGUUGGAACUCGACGGCCAUUUGGAAAGAAUGAUCGAGGACAUGGAAAACAUAUCUGUGCAGCUGACAUGGAUGGCGUACGACAUGUCGGCUCUGCGAACCAACCCCGAACUGUGGGAUUCAAUGCUGCUUCUCGAAGAGGCUUGUCAAAAAAGCUCAAACGCAGUGGCAGGGGGCGGACUGCAGGAACCCGCUCCCAAUGACGCGCCACGCACUCAGAUGUGAAGUUUUACAAUCAAUCAAGUUUUCAACAGCAGCGUCAAGGAGUCGACAAGUUUAAGUUCUAAUCUGCAUAUUCAUACUGCAUGCAUUUCACUGUAAUACAUUUGUUGCAGUCAUUAAAUGCUCAUGAAUUCAAAUAAAAAUACACAUUCACAUUA